UACGGGGGGGGCAAGCGUUGCUCGGAAUUACUGGGCGUAAAGGGCUCGUAGGCGGCCAACUAAGUCAGACGUGAAAUCCCCAGGCUCAACCUGGGAACUGCGUCUGAUACUGGAUGGCUUGAAUCCGGGAGAGGGAUGCAGAAUUCCAGGUGUAGCGGUGAAAUGCGUAGAUAUCGGAAAGAACACCAACGGCGAAAGCACUCUGCUGGGCCGACACUGACACUGAGAGACGAAAGCUAGGGGAGCGAAUGGG
RNAcentral lists this ribosomal RNA (253 nucleotides) under uncultured bacterium. Its description in RNAcentral is "partial 16S ribosomal RNA". It matches the Rfam family "Bacterial small subunit ribosomal RNA", at positions 524 to 776 of the family's 1533-position model. The record is from RNAcentral.